This 824-nucleotide long non-coding RNA is filed under the name Mus musculus (house mouse). RNAcentral's name for it is "predicted gene, 47543". Lineage: Eukaryota; Metazoa; Chordata; Mammalia; Rodentia; Muridae. The record is from RNAcentral.
AGAAACUUGGGCUGACUAGCUGAGCAAACAGAAGAACACAUUUCCUGCCCACAGGAGAGAAUUUCCCUUAGAAAUUAUCUCUAGCCUUGGUCUGUAUAUCAGCAAUGGCCUGAAGCACUAAGGACCCGCUAGUGGCAUACCCAUUGGCACCAUGCUCCUCACACGUCAAUAACUGAGCUGGUCAUAAUCCAAGAACCAGCCAAAGCCCCACCUCACAGCCCAGGGUGCUGCUCUCCAAGAGAAGCUGCUUCAUGGCAAUCAGGGAUCUCUGAUUUCCCUGGGGAACGCUGGGGCUACUGUAAACAAUUCUGCAAUUUGCCUGUAAACUGCUGGAGUGGCAGCUUUCCUUGACACUGGACAUCGCACCCCAUGCUGCAGCAGAAAUGUGGGAAAGUGCACAGGCUCUUCCAACAUUCCAUUGCCUAGCCCACUGAGACAGGCUAGGCUGACUCCAGGACAGGCUUCAAAUUGGCAGUUCAGGAGAGUAGGCCUAAGUCUCUGUUUCUAAGAACCGCUUAAGUCCAGGCAAGUCCAGGCCCCACCACCUGGCCUGAGGCAAGGACAAUGAGUCAGUAGUAGUUUCCAGACUUCCUCAGAAACAAUUUCUAGCCACCCCACCACCCCCAGUCCCCCAGCAAUGGUUCCGGAAUGCCCCUAGAGAUAGAGCCAACAGAUUAAGAUAGAGGUUACCCCCCCCCUUUCUCAGAAUUCCCUCAGUGUGCUUUAAAUCUGGCCUGUGAGCUCACUGGGGCAUCUACAUCUAGGUAAUGGGAGACCCCAGCAUAUUAGACUUCUGCAGAAUAAAACACUCUCUGCUUUUACAU